Thermochaetoides thermophila DSM 1495 is the source of this 76-nucleotide non-coding RNA. The record is from the annotation of a RefSeq genome assembly. NCBI's taxonomy places the organism in Eukaryota, Fungi, Ascomycota, Sordariomycetes, Sordariales, Chaetomiaceae.
GGUCCGCUGGCUCAAUGGCAGAGCGUCUGACUACGGUCCAAUCAGGAGGUUCCAGGUUCGACCCCUGGGUGGAUCG